This 1165-nucleotide long non-coding RNA is filed under the name Homo sapiens (human). Its description in RNAcentral is "ZNF337 antisense RNA 1". The record is from RNAcentral. Lineage: Eukaryota; Metazoa; Chordata; Mammalia; Primates; Hominidae.
CGCCGGAUGCGGCGACUUCUCAGUGGCUGUGGCUGGCGUUGGUCCGAAGCGUGGUGUUCUUCCCUGGUGUCUUUCUGCUUAUCUCUUUCCUCCCUGGGCCCUCCGGCGCGAGGGACCGUCAUCACCUCCCCGAGAGAGAAUGGCACCAUUGUUGUGCGGAUGCUGAUGCCCAGCGUUGAGCCUGUCGUCUCCUAUAUUAGGGGAAGUUCUCCUGGCCCUUCCCAACUACCUCCCCUGUGCAAGUUUAUUACAACUGAACGGCCUCAAGGAUGAAGUCUGGCUCUGUUGCCCAAGCUGGAGUGUGUUGGCACCAUCUUGGUUCACUGCAACUUCCACCUCCCAGGCUCCAGUGAUUCUCCUGCCUCAGCCUCAAGGGUAGCUGAGAUUACAGGCUGGAGUGCAGUGGCAUGAUCUCACCUCACUGAGAACCUCCACCUCCAGGGUUCAAGUGAUUCUGCUACCUCAACCUCCCAAAUAGCUGGGACUACAGGGUCUCAUUCUGUCACCCAGGUUGGAGUGCAGUGGCAACAUCAUAGCUCACUGCAGCCUUGAACCCCUGGGCUCAAGUGAUCCUCCUGCUUCAGCCUCCUGAGUAGCUGGGGCUACAGGCACUUUCCCUACAUUUUCAAAGGCCUGCAUCAUCACAUCUGCCACAGCAUUCUCUAUCAUUGAGGCAUUUUCUCAGGAAAUCACCUGUGAAAUAUUUUGCAGCUAACCACCUACCUGUGCCCCACCAGCCAACAUGCUUUACUCCUGCCAGGCAGGUUCUCUGUAGCCCUCUGGAUUCUGUCUGCCUCUGUUAUAUCUUCACGAACAAGUUAUGCAGCCUCAACUAAAGCUUGUAACAAAGCAAAGUUACUCUCCUGAGUGUGUCCUCUGAUGGAUGGUGAGAUAUAACUUCAAGAUGAAGCCUCACCCACACUCCCUGUACAAAAACGCUUCUCACCUGUGUCACUCUGGAAGCUUUGAUCAGAAAAUUGUAGUUGCUGUUGCCUCUGAUGUGCAAGUCCAAGAUUCUUGGGCCGCAGGACAUGUUCUGCAUAUAUUCCUGGAGAAUAGACCAACAAUGAGACUGAAUCAGUAACGAAAAGUCUUCUAUGAAAGAAAAACCCAGAACCAUAUUGCUUUACUGCUUAAUUCUAAUAAACUCAUAAAGAACAACAAA